GUUGUGGAAAGACUUUCAAUUGUUCUCUGAACAAUUGGUUUUUAAUUAUUAUUAUUAUUAUUUUUUUUUUUCCGCCAACUUUUGUUCUUGCGAUAAAUGUUUGUUUCGCAAUAUGUCGCUUAGAUAUUUCUCAUAUUGUAUCGUAUAGUUUAUGCGCUUUAAAUUUCACCCUGCUAAGCGAACCAUUUUCUUUGUAAGAGUAAUCUCCCUUUUCACUGUUUAUCAUCAAAGCGUAUCUCCUUCGUAACAAAAAAAGAUAGCGACAAAAUUCUUUUUACAAAUUAUUCGUUACAUCCUCAGUAAUUUUUGGCGUAUUUGGAUCGAAGCGAUUCGAUGAAAUUUUAUAGGAGUUAUCUACCUUUACAAAAUAAAUUUGUCGGUAUGUUUUAUUUAACUCAUUAACAGAUAACUGUAUAACCCUGGAUGUUUUUAUUUGAGUCCCCUAGGUCCUAACUUAGAAAAUGAGGUCAAGGUCAAAGGUCAAGGUCAAGUUCUCAAUUGUGACUUUUGCUUGAUUUUGCAUUUUCUCACUCACUUUGAGAGAUACAUAUGAAAGAACAAGUUCAAAAUGUCUGCUUAAUUGUUAUGAAGAUAUGCUACAUUUAG
This 606-nucleotide long non-coding RNA is filed under the name Mytilus galloprovincialis (Mediterranean mussel). Lineage: Eukaryota; Metazoa; Mollusca; Bivalvia; Mytilida; Mytilidae. The record is from RNAcentral.